Molecule: long non-coding RNA, 480 nt
Organism: Coffea arabica (coffee)
Lineage: Eukaryota; Viridiplantae; Streptophyta; Magnoliopsida; Gentianales; Rubiaceae
Source: RefSeq, a predicted model, not a curated record
GAGUGCAAACGGCACAUUUCACUUCCUCGACUUCACUUUAGACUUCCUCGGCUUCUCUAGUUCUCUUCUUGAUUUUUUUUUAUUUUUCCUUCGUAACCCUUCCACAUCCAAAUAUCCAUGACAAGAUCAUCAUGCUAUUAUCUUUAGACGAUCUAUAGGCAAGUUGGAAUUUGGAAACUUCAACUUUCACAAGAUAUCCGAAACUCCAGAGCUUUUCCAUCUUGGUUAAGUUGAUGAAAUUGUGAAGAUGGUGUUGUUGUCUAUCAUGCCACCGAUGGAAGUUUGUUAUUGAAAUUGUUUGUUUUAAAUAUGAGUUGGACUCUUUUAUUGACUUUUUUAGGAUUGCAAAAGAAUGUCAACAUUUAUUUUAUUUAUUUUUGUAUUUUUAUUUGUGAUAAUUGGUGAGCAUUUGGAUUAUAUCUAUUUAUGUUUGUAAUGAAUAUAUAAAAACUUGUGGUGAAUUAUGAUAUUUUAGUUGUU